RNAcentral lists this ribosomal RNA (1013 nucleotides) under uncultured Sediminibacterium sp. Its description in RNAcentral is "bacterial SSU rRNA". The record is from RNAcentral. Lineage: Bacteria; Pseudomonadati; Bacteroidota; Chitinophagia; Chitinophagales; Chitinophagaceae.
CGUCGUGCACGCACGUCAUGUCGGCGUAUAAUACGACGGUGCCAUUCCUAUACCGGAAUUCACUGGCUUCAACGGUUGGGUUGGCGGACAGGCAAGUUCAUUGGGAAAUACCGAGGCUUAACUCUGUAAAACUGCCAUUAAUACUAUAUAUCUUUGAAUUAUUGUGGAAGUAAGCGAAUAAGUCAUGUAGCGGUGAAAUGCUUAGAGAUGACAUAGAACACUGAUUGGCGAAGGCAGCUUACUACGCGAAUAUGAUCAGCUGAGGGCAUGAAAGCGUGGGCGAUCAACCAGGAUUAGAUACCUCUGGUAGUCCACUCCGUAAACGUUGAUUACUCGACAUUAGCGAUACAGAGUUAGUGUCUGAGCGAAAGCAUUAAGUAAUCCACCUGGGAAGUACGACCGCUAGGUUGAAACUCAAAGGAAUUGGCGGGGGUCCGCACAAGCGGUGGAGCAUGUGGUUUAAUUCGAUGAUACGCGAGGAACCUUACUCUGGGCUAGAACCUGCGGUUAGACGGUGGGUGAAAGCUCACUUUGUAGCAAUUCACAGAUCGUAAGGUGGUGCAUGCGCUGUCGUCAGCUCGUGCCGUGAGGUGUUCGGGUUAAGUCCCGCAACGAGCGCAACCCCUAUCAGUAGUUGCCAACAGGUAAAGCUGGGAACUAUACUGAAACUACCGCCGUAAGGCGUGAGGAAGGAGGGGAUGAUGUCAAGUCAUCAUGGCCUAUUAUGCCCAGGGCUACACACGUGCUACAAUGGGGAGGACAAAGGGCAGCGACACAGUGAUGUGAAGCCAAUCCCAAAAACCUUCUUUCAGUUCAGAUUGGAGUCUGCAACUCGACUCCAUGAAGCUGGAAUCGUUAGUUAAUCCUUAGUAAUUGUAUAUCAGCAAUGAUACGGUGAAUACGUUCCCGGACCUUGCACACACCGCCCGUCGCCAAGCCAUGGGAGCCGGGUGUACUUAAAGUCGGUAAACCGCAAGGGAGCUUCCGCYAGGGGGCUCAGGCUGCAAAUGGGG